This 153-nucleotide ribosomal RNA is filed under the name Clostridium botulinum D/C. Its description in RNAcentral is "partial 16S ribosomal RNA". It matches the Rfam family "Bacterial small subunit ribosomal RNA", at positions 1 to 150 of the family's 1533-position model. The record is from RNAcentral. Lineage: Bacteria; Bacillati; Bacillota; Clostridia; Eubacteriales; Clostridiaceae.
UUUAAAUUGAGAGUUUGAUCCUGGCUCAGGACGAACGCUGGCGGCGUGCCUAACACAUGCAAGUCGAGCGAUGAAGCUUCCUUCGGGAAGUGGAUUAGCGGCGGACGGGUGAGUAACACGUGGGUAACCUGCCUCAAAGAGUGGGAUAGCCUC